AUAUUGGUCAAUGGACGCAAGUCUGAACCAGCCAUGCCGCGUGAAGGAUGAAGGCGUUCUGCGUUGUAAACUUCUUUUAUCUGGGAAGAAACCUCAGUAUUCUUAUUGAGCCGACGGUACCAGAGGAAUAAGCACCGGCUAACUCCGUUCCAGCAGCCGCGGUAAUACGGAGGGUGCAAGCGUUAUCCGGAUUCACUGGGUUUAAAGGGUGUGUAGGCGGGUAUUUAAGUCAGUGGUGAAAUCUCCGGGCUCAACCCGGAAACUGCCAUUGAUACUAUUUAUCUUGAAUUCUGUUGAGGUAGGCGGAAUAUAUCAUGUAGCGGUGAAAUGCUUAGAUAUGAUAUAGAACACCGAUUGCGAAGGCAGCUUACUAAGCAGACAUUGACGCUGAGGCACGAAAGCGUGGGGAUCAAACAGG
This 418-nucleotide ribosomal RNA is filed under the name uncultured bacterium. RNAcentral's name for it is "bacterial SSU rRNA". It matches the Rfam family "Bacterial small subunit ribosomal RNA", at positions 361 to 776 of the family's 1533-position model. The record is from RNAcentral.